GCGACCGGCGCACGGGUGAGUAACACGUAUCCAACCUGCCGUCUACUCUUGGACAGCCUUCUGAAAGGAAGAUUAAUACAAGAUGGCAUCAUGAGUCCGCAUGUUCACAUGAUUAAAGGUAUUCCGGUAGACGAUGGGGAUGCGUUCCAUUAGAUAGUAGGCGGGGUAACGGCCCACCUAGUCUUCGAUGGAUAGGGGUUCUGAGAGGAAGGUCCCCCACAUUGGAACUGAGACACGGUCCAAACUCCUACGGAAGGCAGCAGUGAGGAAUAUUGGUCAAUGGGCGAGAGCCUGAACCAGCCAAGUAGCGUGAAGGAUGACUGCCCUAUGGGUUGUAAACUUCUUUUAUAAAGGAAUAAAGUCGGGUAUGCAUACCCGUUUGCAUGUACUUUAUGAAUAAGGAUCGGCUAACUCCGUGCCAGCAGCCGCGGUAAUACGGAGGAUCCGAGCGUUAUCCGGAUUUAUUGGGUUUAAAGGGAGCGUAGAUGGAUGUUUAAGUCAGUUGUGAAAGUUUGCGGCUCAACCGUAAAAUUGCAGUUGAUACUGGAUAUCUUGAGUGCAGUUGAGGCAGGCGGAAUUCGUGGUGUAGCGGUGAAAUGCUUAGAUAUCACGAAGAACUCCGAUUGCGAAGGCAGCCUGCUAAGCUGCAACUGACAUUGAGGCUCGAAAGUGUGGGUAUCAAACAGGAUUAGAUACCCUGGUAGUCCACACGGUAAACGAUGAAUACUCGCUGUUUGCGAUAUACAGCAAGC
RNAcentral lists this ribosomal RNA (752 nucleotides) under uncultured Bacteroides sp. Its description in RNAcentral is "bacterial SSU rRNA". It matches the Rfam family "Bacterial small subunit ribosomal RNA", at positions 91 to 844 of the family's 1533-position model. Lineage: Bacteria; Pseudomonadati; Bacteroidota; Bacteroidia; Bacteroidales; Bacteroidaceae. The record is from RNAcentral.